This 662-nucleotide ribosomal RNA is filed under the name uncultured bacterium. RNAcentral describes it as "bacterial SSU rRNA". It matches the Rfam family "Bacterial small subunit ribosomal RNA", at positions 208 to 859 of the family's 1533-position model. The record is from RNAcentral.
GCAAGCCCUCGCUGAAGGAUGAGUUCGCGUACCAUUAGCUUGUUGGUAGGGUAAUGGCCUACCAAGGCGACGAUGGUUAGCUGGUCUGAGAGGAUGAUCAGCCACACUGGAACUGAGACACGGUCCAGACUCCUACGGGAGGCAGCAGUGAGGAAUCUUGCGCAAUGGGGGAAACCCUGACGCAGCAACGCCGCGUGAGUGAGGAAGGUCUUCGGAUCGUAAAGCUCUGUCAGUUGGAAAGAAAUGUCUGAGAGUCAAUCCCUUUCAGGCUUGACGGUACCAACAGAGGAAGCACCGGCUAACUCCGUGCCAGCAGCCGCGGUAAUACGGGGGGUGCAAGCGUUGUUCGGAAUUAUUGGGCGUAAAGAGCGUGUAGGCGGCCGGAUAUGUCAGAUGUGAAAGCCCCGGGCUUAACCCGGGAAGUGCAUUUGAAACUGUCCGGCUCGAGUAGGGGAGAGGGAAGUGGAAUUCCUGGUGUAGAGGUGAAAUUCGUAGAUAUCAGGAGGAACACCGGUGGCGAAGGCGACUUCCUGGCCCUAUACUGACGCUGAGACGCGAGAGCGUGGGUAGCAAACAGGAUUAGAUACCCUGGUAGUCCACGCCGUAAACGAUGUUCACUAGGUGUUGGGGGUAUUGACCCCCUCAGUGCCGGAGCUAACGCA